CCUUCUUAAGCACCCACACGUGAGCUCUGUGUCACCUCCCCCACCCUGGGUUUUAUGGGCAUGCCUGGCACCACCCACUUGUUGGCCAGCUGGCCGUAAACACGUCACUUCUUUCUGUGCAGUGUUUCACAAGUGGCACAGCUGUCAUGACUUCGCAUCGUCCCCCUUCAGACCCUGAAAUCCUUGUGCAAUUUGCCAAUGGAGCGAACCCAACCCAUUUUUUUUUCCUCAAAGCUCCUCCUGGUUGCCUUCAUCUUGCAGCCGAAGCUACAUUUCUUUAGCAAGAUGCACUUAGCCACAUCCUUUCUGAAUGUUUGGAAAUGUCCAGGAAGAAACUGAGCACAGCCAGCAUUUUCUUCCAGUGCUGUCUUCCCCUGUGGACAGGACAGUCAUAACUGUGUCUUGGCCUCUGUCAUGGGCAAGAAGAAACCCUGGGUGGUGUCACUCAGAGUCAUAGAAUGGUUUGGUUUGGAAGAGACCACAAAGCCCACCCAGUCCCAAUCCCCUACCACGGGCAGGGCUGCCCCCCACCAGCUCAGCUGCCCAGGCCCCAUCCAACCUGCCCUUGAGCACCUCCCACAGUGGGGCACCCACAGCUCUCUGGGCAGCUCUGCCAGCACCUCACUGCCCUCCUAGGAAGGAGCUCUGUCAGACCAGCAGGGAUGUGUGUGUGAAAGUGGCACCGGAGGACUCAGCAUGCAAGUAAUCCUGCAGCUCAGGCAAAGCACGGGUGGGCGUAAAUCCCAUGUCCAGAUUAACAUUCCUGCCACUCACAAAAUAUGCCAGGAGCUUGCUGGGGCUUUUAAACACACCUGCGAGUGGCAAGUUAAAUUUGACCAUGGCUUACUUAUCUGACACAGCUUAAGAAUGUUCAGCAAUUUUGACAAAUCAAAUCAUUUAAAACGUUCUCAAAAAUGGGAGUUUACCCAUGCCAUUGCCUUUUAGGGCAGCUCUUUGUAUGUUCAGCCUUACUUUUAUCUGUAGAAGAUAGGUAAGUAUCAUCUGGAAGGGGGCUAUAGCUGGGAAAUUAAAUGAAGAUGUUAAUUCCCUGAUUGGAUGAAAAAAAAAUAAUAAUACAAUUCUGUUAUCAAAACAGGAUACAAUGUCAGGAAAUGGCCAACCAAAUAUUGUUGGUGCCAACAAGACUGUGAUUGUUCGUGACCUGGAAGCGCUGCAGCCAGGGGCCGUCCCACGGCCUGGGUGCCCCUCCCCGGUGAGGAGGAGGCAUUGCUGCUCUCCCUUUCUUCUCCCUGGGAAACCUAAAAAUAUCCCAGGACACAGCAGCAUCUGUUCUGUAAUUCUCCUGGGAAAAGAGAGGAAGAUUCACACACCAGUGAAAUGCGAGCGCAGGAACUCGACCUCAGCAAAGGGAAAAGAUGAAAGAGAAAGUGGGUACAAUGUGUUUCAGUGUUCCUACGUUGUCAGCAUGAGGAGGCAGGCCGGAAGCAUUUCGGUUGUCCUUUGUAGGAAAGUUAGAUAGAAACGACCAGCUGAGGCUUUUUGGAACUGCAGGAACAGUAUGGCUGGCUUGGAGACUCAGAACACUUUUUGCUUCAGAGCUCUUUCAGACUGUGGAUAUUGAUAAGGGGCAGAUGCAGCUCAGUGUCUGUGAGGGAGCCCCUUGUGCCUGUGCCAUGAUGCCAUUCCUCCUAUGCCUCAGUGCGUCACACGGAGACCCACAAUGAAGGUCCAUUCAGAGGUCCUAGCACACAGGUGACAUUUGCAGCUAGAGCUUUCCUUCAGCAGCAGGAUCACACAGUGCCUGUCAGGCUACCGGGGCUGUGGUGAUGGACAAGAAACCUGUUAGCACCAUCUCCAGCAAGUUUGCAGCUGGCACCAAGCUGAGGGGUGCGGUUUAUAGGCUGGAGGGAAAGGAUGGCAACCAGAGGGACAUAGAGAGGCUUGAGGAGUGGGCCUGCACUAACCUCAUGGCGUUCAACAGGGCUGAGUGCACGAUUACCAAGAAAAGGCCCUGGGGCUUUUGAAAAGAACCAUUGAAGUGCAUGUGUCUCCUUGCUGGAGUCCUGCUGCAAAGAACUGACGCUGUUCUAGAUGUCUGGGGUGUCUGAAUUCACCCAGAUAUUAUAGCAAUUUAAAGUUGAAUUGGGGUUAGUACUGAUUAAACACUUUCUGUCUCUAAAGUUGCCACGUUAAAACAAAGAAAAUUAUGGUAAUUUUAUGGGCUGCUGUCUUUUGUCAGACUUGAUGAACGGUGAAGUAUUUGAAAGGAUAAGCAGGUUAAAGGGUCCUAUGUGACUUCUUAGAAAACCCUGGGAGGAUAUUAUGUACGUUUCCAUUUCAAAGAAUAUCACCUGGUGUCCAGGCUAGUUAAAUCUCUCAGAAAGUGAAUUCUUACUUACCAUUAAAUUGGUUAAGAUUUACACCAACUAAAGACAAGAGGAUAAAGGAUCCCAUUGGUGGGGCUGGAAAUCUCCCUACAAAGGUAGUUACCCUCCAGUCGUUGGUACCGUGUGUUAAGUUUCUCUCUCCAGACUUUAUUACGGAAGAUUAAACACAAAAAUCAAGUUUGACAUCGACUGCAGGCCUCUGCUGAAGGUGUCUCUUUAGACAGAAAGCUUGUGCUUACAUUGUGCUGUGAUUAGCUGGGUUUUGUUGUGGGUCAUACGUAGCUUCAACUGUUUAACACACUGCACAUAGCGAGUAAAAUUCUGCCUGUAGAAAUGUCUCUGGGCAUUGACUUAAGUCACAGCCAACAACUUAAUGAGGCCAGGAGUUCAUUUACUUUACAUUGCUUUGUUGACACACGCUAAAUAUAUAUAAAUGUAAUGUUAUUACAGCGUGUAUGUGUAAUGUGGUCAUGCUGAAAUGCCUCACAGCCUGUCAGCGUCAGCCGUUGGCAUUUCCUGCCUGUCUGUAUCUCAGUUUAAUGCCUUGAUACUCCCUAGAAUCAUUUUAUAAUCUUGCAAUUAAUUUCCGAAGAAAAAAACCUAAAACCAUGGAAGUCAUCACCUCACUGGUUUCCAGUGUAUUUUGGAUUUACCCACGUGGAGUUUCCAAAUGUAGCUGCCUACUUAGUUCUGCCAGCAGAAUUUAUCUGCAAUUCAUCCGGAUAAAGAAGAGCUUGCUCAGAUAUUUGCAAAAGAACGCUUCUAACUGGAUCAAGGUAUAGCAGCUGAUGUUCAGAGACACCGUUCAAGGAAGAACAAGAACAUUUUCUGGCAUUUACACUGGCCAAUUCCAGGAGGACUCUCCUCUCAAAAUCAAACUCUGGUUUCUUUCCCAGGAAGUUUUCUUUAGAUAAGAGGCAUUCAAUCCCAUAUCAUGUGAAAUAUUUACUGGAAAUUAGUGUGUAAGCCUUAUUUUAUCCACUCGCUUUCACUUAGCAUUAUAUGUGUGUACAUAAAUCUCUUAAUUUUGACAGCUGUGCAAAGAUCUCUUUUUUUUCUUUUUCCUCUUUCUUCCCAGUAGACUUUGCAUGAACAACCCUUGUGACUACAGCUAAGUAUUUCAAUAGUCUGAUUUUCUGCAGGCCUUUUGUAUUCCAGCCACUCCAUUCUGGUUGCAAAUGAAUCAGAUAUUACAGCUUAAGG
Gallus gallus (chicken) is the source of this 3551-nucleotide long non-coding RNA. The record is from Ensembl. Lineage: Eukaryota; Metazoa; Chordata; Aves; Galliformes; Phasianidae.